AAAGUUUUUUCGGUUGGGGAUGGGCUCGCGGCCUAUCAGCUUGUUGGUGGGGUAGUGGCCUACCAAGGCGACGACGGGUAGCCGGCCUGAGAGGGCGACCGGCCACACUGGGACUGAGACACGGCCCAGACUCCUACGGGAGGCAGCAGUGGGGAAUAUUGCGCAAUGGGCGAAAGCCUGACGCAGCGACGCCGCGUGGGGGAUGACGGCCUUCGGGUUGUAAACCUCUUUCAGCAGGGACGAAGUUGACGUGUACCUGCAGAAGAAGCGCCGGCUAACUACGUGCCAGCAGCCGCGGUAAUACGUAGGGCGCAAGCGUUGUCCGGAAUUAUUGGGCGUAAAGAGCUCGUAGGUGGCUUGUCGCGUCUGCCGUGAAAGCUCGCAGCUUAACUGCGGGUCUGCGGUGGAUACGGGCUGGCUAGAGGUAGGUAGGGGAGAACGGAAUUCCUGGUGUAGCGGUGAAAUGCGCAGAUAUCAGGAGGAACACCGGUGGCGAAGGCGGUUCUCUGGGCCUUACCUGACGCUGAGGAGCGAAAGCGUGGGGAGCGAACAGGAUUAGAUACCCUGGUAGUCCACGCUGUAAACGUUGGGCGCUAGGUGUGGGGGUCUUCCACGAUCUCCGUGCCGGAGCUAACGCAUUAAGCGCCCCGCCUGGGGAGUACGGCCGCAAGGCUAAAACUCAAAGGAAUUGACGG
This 695-nucleotide ribosomal RNA is filed under the name Nonomuraea sp. Its description in RNAcentral is "bacterial SSU rRNA". It matches the Rfam family "Bacterial small subunit ribosomal RNA", at positions 202 to 916 of the family's 1533-position model. The record is from RNAcentral. Lineage: Bacteria; Bacillati; Actinomycetota; Actinomycetes; Streptosporangiales; Streptosporangiaceae.